This 587-nucleotide ribosomal RNA is filed under the name Klebsiella pneumoniae. RNAcentral describes it as "bacterial SSU rRNA". It matches the Rfam family "Bacterial small subunit ribosomal RNA", at positions 68 to 648 of the family's 1533-position model. Lineage: Bacteria; Pseudomonadati; Pseudomonadota; Gammaproteobacteria; Enterobacterales; Enterobacteriaceae. The record is from RNAcentral.
UAGCACAGAGAGCUUGCUCUCGGGUGACGAGCGGCGGACGGGUGAGUAAUGUCUGGGAAACUGCCUGAUGGAGGGGGAUAACUACUGGAAACGGUAGCUAAUACCGCAUAAUGUCGCAAGACCAAAGUGGGGGACCUUCGGGCCUCAUGCCAUCAGAUGUGCCCAGAUGGGAUUAGCUAGUAGGUGGGGUAACGGCUCACCUAGGCGACGAUCCCUAGCUGGUCUGAGAGGAUGACCAGCCACACUGGAACUGAGACACGGUCCAGACUCCUACGGGAGGCAGCAGUGGGGAAUAUUGCACAAUGGGCGCAAGCCUGAUGCAGCCAUGCCGCGUGUGUGAAGAAGGCCUUCGGGUUGUAAAGCACUUUCAGCGGGGAGGAAGGCGGUGAGGUUAAUAACCUUAUCGAUUGACGUUACCCGCAGAAGAAGCACCGGCUAACUCCGUGCCAGCAGCCGCGGUAAUACGGAGGGUGCAAGCGUUAAUCGGAAUUACUGGGCGUAAAGCGCACGCAGGCGGUCUGUCAAGUCGGAUGUGAAAUCCCCGGGCUCAACCUGGGAACUGCAUUCGAAACUGGCAGGCUAGAGUC